AUUCCAGAGACCGACGUAGCAAACUCCAGAGAGAAUGUCCCCUGAAAAAUUUCACAUAAAACGAACAAUCAAUAAAAUAUAAUAAUGGGAGUCUUUAUGGCGGGAGCAGCCCAAGCUGCCAAAUGAAAAUAUUGUGAAUUCGCCUCGAUUGCUUCGUGUCCCCACUUCAAUCCCGCAGCCAGGAACCACGUGAGGGUGAGAAUUACCCACCAGAUGCUCGAGGCCAUUC
Molecule: long non-coding RNA, 229 nt
Organism: Fopius arisanus
Lineage: Eukaryota; Metazoa; Arthropoda; Insecta; Hymenoptera; Braconidae
Exons: 2
Source: RefSeq, a predicted model, not a curated record